ACUCCUACGGGAGGCAGCAGUGGGAAUAUUGCACAAUGGGCGCAAGCCUGAUGCAGCAACGCCGCCGUGAGCGAAGAAGGUCUUCGGAUCGUAAAGCUCUUUUCUUUAGGGAAGAAAACUGACGGUACCUAAGGAAUAAGCACCGGCUAAAUACGUGCCAGCAGCCGCGGUAAUACGGAGGGUGCGAGCGUUUAAUCGGAAUUACUGGGCGUAAAGCGCAUGCAGGUGGUUUGUUAAAGUCAGAUGUGAAAGCCCGGGCUCAACCUCGGAAGUGCAUUUUGAAACUGGCAAACUAGAGUACUGUAGAGGGGUGGUAAGUUACUA
RNAcentral lists this ribosomal RNA (324 nucleotides) under uncultured bacterium. Its description in RNAcentral is "bacterial SSU rRNA". It matches the Rfam family "Bacterial small subunit ribosomal RNA", at positions 335 to 672 of the family's 1533-position model. The record is from RNAcentral.